Molecule: unclassified non-coding RNA, 282 nt
Filed under: Hevea brasiliensis (rubber tree)
Lineage: Eukaryota; Viridiplantae; Streptophyta; Magnoliopsida; Malpighiales; Euphorbiaceae
Source: RNAcentral
AAAAGAAGAAAAUAGUGGCCAAGAACUCAAGAUUUGAAUCUUUGAUGUCACGCAUUACAGUACAAGAAUUUAAUCCUUAUGCUACUAACCCAAUGCAUAAUUUCAGAAAUUCUGUCAGGAUGAUACACAUGAUUACUCUACCCUGAAACUCUCAUCUGAAAGAAUUUUAUCAUUGAUCUUUGCCCUCAUGCAUUACGAGGAAGAUUGAGAAAGGGAAUGAAGUUAUCAACACUUUGAAUACUACCACUGAUUUACAAUGCCUCCCAGGAAGGAUUGCCUUGG